GCCAGGUGUGGUGGCGCACACCUGUAAUCCCAGCUACAUGGGAGGCUGAGGCAGAAGAAUCGUUUGAACCCAGGAGGCUGAGAUUGCAGUGAGCCGAGAUCGCACCAUUGCACUCCAGCCUGGGCUACAGGGUGAGACUCUGUCUCAA
This is a non-coding RNA of Homo sapiens (human), 148 nucleotides long. It matches the Rfam family "Metazoan signal recognition particle RNA". From Rfam's summary of the family: The signal recognition particle (SRP) is a universally conserved ribonucleoprotein. NCBI's taxonomy places the organism in Eukaryota, Metazoa, Chordata, Mammalia, Primates, Hominidae. The record is from Rfam.